GAUCCUGACUCAGGACGAACGCUGGCGGCGCGCCUAACACAUGCAAGUCGAACGGAGAGUGUGAGACGGAAGCCUUCGGGCGGAAGACUUACAUUCUUAGUGGCGGACGGGUGAGUAACACGUGAGCAACCUGCCGUUCAAGAGUGGGAUAGCACCUGGAAACGGGUGGUAAUACCGCAUAAGACCACAGCAUCGCAUGGUGCAGAGGUCAAAGGAGCAAUCCCGCUUGAAGGAUGGG
Molecule: ribosomal RNA, 238 nt
Filed under: uncultured bacterium
Lineage: Bacteria
Description: partial 16S ribosomal RNA
Rfam family: Bacterial small subunit ribosomal RNA
Source: RNAcentral